RNAcentral lists this ribosomal RNA (253 nucleotides) under uncultured bacterium. RNAcentral describes it as "partial 16S ribosomal RNA". It matches the Rfam family "Bacterial small subunit ribosomal RNA", at positions 524 to 776 of the family's 1533-position model. The record is from RNAcentral.
UACAGAGGUCCCAAGCGUUGUUCGGCUUCCUUGGGCGUAAAGGGUGCGUCGGUGGCGCCGUAAGUCAGGUGUGAAAUUUCGGAGCUUAACUCCGAAACUGCAUUUGAUACUGCGGUGCUUGAGGACUGGAGAGGAGACUGGAAUUUACGGUGUAGCAGUGAAAUGCGUAGAGAUCGUAAGGAAGACCAGUGGCGAAGGCGGUCUCCUGGGGCAUUCUUGACGCUGAGGCGCGAAAGCUGGGGGAGCAAACGGG